Molecule: ribosomal RNA, 498 nt
Filed under: uncultured bacterium
Lineage: Bacteria
Description: partial 16S ribosomal RNA
Rfam family: Bacterial small subunit ribosomal RNA
Source: RNAcentral
AUUGAACGCUGGCGGCAUGCCUCACACAUGCAAGUCGAACGGUAACAGGUCUUCGGAUGCUGACGAGUGGCGAACGGGUGAGUAAUACAUCGGAACGUGCCUAGUAGUGGGGGAUAACUACUCGAAAGAGUGGCUAAUACCGCAUGAGAUCUACGGAUGAAAGCAGGGGAUCGCAAGACCUUGUGCUACUAGAGCGGCCCAUGGCAGAUUAGGUAGUUGGUGGGAUAAAAGCUUACCAAGCCGACGAUCUGUAGCUGGUCUGAGAGGACGAUCAGCCACCCUGGGACUGAGACACGGCCCAGACUCUUACGGGAGGCAGCAGUGGGGAAUUUUGGACAAUGUGCGAAAGCCUGAUCCAGCAAUGCCGCGUGGAGGAUGAAGGCCUUCGGGUUGUAAACUGCUUUUGUACGGAACGAAAAGCCCCGGGUUAAUACCCUGGGGUCAUGACGGUACCGUAAGAAUAAGCACCGGCUAACUACGUGCCAGCAGCCGCCGCCG